Molecule: ribosomal RNA, 253 nt
Filed under: uncultured bacterium
Lineage: Bacteria
Description: partial 16S ribosomal RNA
Rfam family: Bacterial small subunit ribosomal RNA
Source: RNAcentral
CGUAGGUGGCAAGCGUUGUCCGGAUUUAUUGGGCGUAAAGCGAACGCAGGCGGGAAGAUAAGUCAGCUGUGAAAGCCCCCAGCUUAACUGGGGAACUGCAGCUGAAACUAUGUUUCUUGAGUGCAGAAGAGGAGAGUGGAACUCCAUGUGUAGCGGUGGAAUGCGUAGAUAUAUGGAAGAACACCAGUGGCGAAGGCGGCUCUCUGGUCUGUAACUGACGCUGAGGUUCGAAAGCAUGGUAGCGAACAGGAUU